GAUGAACGCUGGCGGCGUGCCUAGUACAUGCAAGUCGAGCGAACGGACGAGAAGCUUGCUUCUCUGAUGUUAGCGGCGGACGGGUGAGUAACACGUGGAUAACCUACCUAUAAGACUGGGAUAACUUCGGGAAACCGGAGCUAAUACCGGAUAAUAUUUUGAACCGCAUGGUUCAAAAGUGAAAGACGGUCUUGCUGUCACUUAUAGAUGGAUCCGCGCUGCAUUAGCUAGUUGGUAAGGUAACGGCUUACCAAGGCAACGAUGCAUAGCCGACCUAAGAGGGUGAUCGGCCACACUGGAACUGAGACACGGUCCAGACUCCUACGGGAGGCAGCAGUAGGGAAUCUUCCGCAAUGGGCGAAAGCCUGACGGAGCAACGCCGCGUGAGUGAUGAAGGUCUUCGGAUCGUAAAACUCUGUUAUUAGGGAAGAACAUAUGUGUAAGUAACUGUGCACAUCUUGACGGUACCUAAUCAGAAAGCCACGGCUAACUACGUG
RNAcentral lists this ribosomal RNA (497 nucleotides) under uncultured bacterium. RNAcentral's name for it is "partial 16S ribosomal RNA". It matches the Rfam family "Bacterial small subunit ribosomal RNA", at positions 28 to 507 of the family's 1533-position model. The record is from RNAcentral.